Hibiscus syriacus is the source of this 153-nucleotide long non-coding RNA. RefSeq lists it as uncharacterized. The transcript is spliced from 3 exons. The record is from RefSeq and is a predicted model, not a curated record. NCBI's taxonomy places the organism in Eukaryota, Viridiplantae, Streptophyta, Magnoliopsida, Malvales, Malvaceae.
AAGAAGAGUUGAAAAGUGAGAUCAAAAAGAGAGAUAAAAAUCUGGGAGAGGAUUACAGAUUGGUUGGAUGAGAGAGGUGGAGAAAUCAGUGGCAGUUUAGUGUCUAUGGUUGGAAAGGAUUGUCGUUUAGAUUAUUGGGAGAUGGAUUUGUGG